Cinara cedri is the source of this 281-nucleotide non-coding RNA. The record is from the annotation of a GenBank genome assembly. Lineage: Eukaryota; Metazoa; Arthropoda; Insecta; Hemiptera; Aphididae.
CCUAUCUUAAUUACUUAUUAGUAUAUUAAUGCAAUAUUGAUUAAUUGAUAAUUUAUUAGUUUUAAUGUUAGGAUUUUAAGAGAUUAUAUAAUGUAUGCAAGUUCUAAAUACUGCUGAAUAUCAUUAGCAACUACCCGAGAAAAAAAUAAUUAUUGAUAUUAAGUAAAAAAACUGAUAUAAACAUUUAGGUAUAAAUAAUCUAAGUAUUCAAAACUAGCGAGCCUUUGUAAAUGUAUACAUGUAAUAUUAAACAAAUCCCAAAAAUAAUACUGAUUUUUUUA